Molecule: ribosomal RNA, 424 nt
Filed under: Fusobacteriota bacterium
Lineage: Bacteria; Fusobacteriati; Fusobacteriota
Description: Fusobacteria bacterium partial 16S ribosomal RNA
Rfam family: Bacterial small subunit ribosomal RNA
Source: RNAcentral
UGAGGAAUAUUGGUCAAUGGGCGAGAGCCUGAACCAGCCAAGUCGCGUGAAGGAAGACAGUCCUAAGGAUUGUAAACUUCUUUUAUACGGGAAUAACGGGCGAUACGAGUAUUGCAUUGAAUGUACCGUAAGAAUAAGCAUCGGCUAACUCCGUGCCAGCAGCCGCGGUAAUACGGGGGAUGCGAGCGUUAUCCGGAUUUAUUGGGUUUAAAGGGUGCGUAGGUUGUUCGGUAAGUCAGCGGUGAAACCUGAGCGCUCAACGUUCAGCCUGCCGUUGAAACUGCCGGGCUUGAGUUCAGUGGCGGCAGGCGGAAUUCGUGGUGUAGCGGUGAAAUGCAUAGAUAUCACGAGGAACUCCGAUUGCGAAGGCAGCUUGCCAUACUGCGACUGACACUGAAGCACGAAGGCGUGGGUAUCAAACAGG